Molecule: ribosomal RNA, 315 nt
Filed under: Escherichia coli
Lineage: Bacteria; Pseudomonadati; Pseudomonadota; Gammaproteobacteria; Enterobacterales; Enterobacteriaceae
Description: partial 23S ribosomal RNA
Rfam family: Bacterial large subunit ribosomal RNA
Source: RNAcentral
CGCCUCGUGAAUUCAUCUCCGGGGGUAGAGCACUGUUUCGGCAAGGGGGUCAUCCCGACUUACCAACCCGAUGCAAACUGCGAAUACCGGAGAAUGUUAUCACGGGAGACACACGGCGGGUGCUAACGUCCGUCGUGAAGAGGGAAACAACCCAGACCGCCAGCUAAGGUCCCAAAGUCAUGGUUAAGUGGGAAACGAUGUGGGAAGGCCCAGACAGCCAGGAUGUUGGCUUAGAAGCAGCCAUCAUUUAAAGAAAGCGUAAUAGCUCACUGGUCGAGUCGGCCUGCGCGGAAGAUGUAACGGGGCUAAACCAUG